Molecule: ribosomal RNA, 505 nt
Filed under: uncultured bacterium
Lineage: Bacteria
Description: partial 16S ribosomal RNA
Rfam family: Bacterial small subunit ribosomal RNA
Source: RNAcentral
AUUGAACGCUGGCGGCAGGCCUAACACAUGCAAGUCGAACGGUAACAGGAAACAGCUUGCUGUUUCGCUGACGAGUGGCGGACGGGUGAGUAAUGUCUGGGAAACUGCCUGAUGGAGGGGAUAACUACUGGAAGCGGUAGCUAAUACCGCAUAACGUCGCAAGACCAAAGAGGGGGACCUUCGGGCCUCUUGCCAUCGGAUGUGCACAGAUGGGAUUAGCUAGUAGGGGGGGUAACGGCUCACCCAGGCGACGAUCCCUAGCUGGUCUGAGAGGAUGACCAGCCGCACUGGAACUGAGACACGGGUCAGACUCCUACGGGAGGCAGCAGUGGGGAAUAUUGCACAAUGGGCGCAAGCCUGAUGCAGCCAUGCCGCGUGUAUGAAGAAGGCCUUCGGGUUGUAAAGUACUUUCAGCGGGGAGGAAGGGAGUAAAGUUAAUACCUUUGCUCAUUGACGUUACUCGCAGAAGAAGCACCGGCUAACUCCGUGCCAGCAGCCGCAGUAA